AGAGUUUGAUCCUGGCUCAGAUUGAACGCUGGCGGCAUGCCUUACACAUGCAAGUCGAACGGUAACAGGUCUUCGGAUGCUGACGAGUGGCGAACGGGUGAGUAAUACAUCGGAACGUGCCCAGUAAUGGGGGAUAGCUCGGCGAAAGCCGGAUUAAUACCGCAUACGCCCUGAGGGGGAAAGUGGGGGACCGCAAGGCCUCACGUUAUUGGAGCGGCCGAUGGCUGAUUAGCUAGUUGGUAGGGUAAAGGCCUACCAAGGCGACGAUCAGUAGCUGGUCUGAGAGGACGAUCAGCCACACUGGGACUGAGACACGGCCCAGACUCCUACGGGAGGCAGCAGUGGGGAAUUUUGGACAAUGGGGGAAACCCUGAUCCAGCAAUGCCGCGUGUGCGAAGAAGGCCUUCGGGUUGUAAAGCACUUUUGUCAGGGAAGAAAUCCUUUGGGCUAAUACCCUAGGGGGAUGACGGUACCUGAAGAAUAAGCACCAGCUAACUACGUGCCAGCAGCCGCGGUAAUACGUAGGGUGCAAGCGUUAAUCGGAAUUACUGGGCGUAAAGCGUGCGCAGGCGGUUGUGUAAGACAGGUGUGAAAUCCCCGGGCUUAACCUGGGAAUUGCAUUUGUGACUGCACGACUAGAGUGUGUCAGAGGGGGGUGGAAUUCCACGUGUAGCAGUGAAAUGCGUAGAUAUGUGGAGGAACACCAAUGGCGAAGGCAGCCCCCUGGGAUAACACUGACGCUCAUGCACGAAAGCGUGGGGAGCAAACAGGAUUAGAUACCCUGGUAGUCCACGCCCUAA
This 800-nucleotide ribosomal RNA is filed under the name uncultured bacterium. RNAcentral's name for it is "bacterial SSU rRNA". It matches the Rfam family "Bacterial small subunit ribosomal RNA", at positions 8 to 805 of the family's 1533-position model. The record is from RNAcentral.